UAAUUAUCACCAACCUCAGAUGACACUGAAGUGGCGUAUCUUUUGCUACCAUGAGGACUGCCCCACGCAGAAGUGCUUCUGAGAUAACAGCCUCAAGAGCAGCAGGUUUUGGACAAGGGUCAUGAUUAUCUUUUAUCUGACAGCACCAAGCAGAGUACAGAACACACAGUAGGCUCCCUUCAUUGAAAUAAAGAAGACAGGGACCAUUUUUGAGAAAAAGGAGAAGAUGGCAAGGAAAAACUCUCUCUUUCCCCUAGGAGCUCUGAAGAAGAAAGGGCUUGGAGAGAGGAAGACCCAGCUGAGAUCCCUCUGAAACUGUGAUAUACGACAUCACUGCCUCAGGACCUGUCCAACUGUCAGACAGCAGGAAGCUGCCCCACUCGUGAACAUCUAUUCGACUCUCCAAGUCCGGGGAGUCUACCUGGCACACAGGAGGCGUGACUCACAUGUGGCUAUGGCAGAUCUCCUCCCUCCUCCCAAGGCUUACCAGGCAACCUUGGCCUAAAGCACAGAAUGUUCUCGGUAAACAUAAAGGACCCUAAAAAUAUUAACAGUGAUUGUUAUUGUUGUUAUUAAAUCUACAGUUUGGAGCAGUAACCACAAAAUUGGUGACUUCCACAAGUCCAAUUAUGACCACUACAAAGUGGACAAAAUAAAACUUUUCUCCUAGGAAUCUUAA
This is a long non-coding RNA of Equus caballus (horse), 679 nucleotides long. RefSeq lists it as uncharacterized. Lineage: Eukaryota; Metazoa; Chordata; Mammalia; Perissodactyla; Equidae. The record is from RefSeq and is a predicted model, not a curated record.